Molecule: unclassified non-coding RNA, 240 nt
Filed under: soil metagenome
Description: partial contains 5.8S ribosomal RNA, internal transcribed spacer 2, and large subunit ribosomal RNA
Source: RNAcentral
AACAUCGCGCACCUGCGGGAACCUGCGGAGGGAUCAUUACAGAGUUCGUGCCCUCGCGGGUAGAUCUCCCACCCUUGUGUAUUCUCUACAUCUUGUUGCUUUGGCAGGCCGUUGGUUCGCCAACCACCGGCUCGCGGGCUGGUGCGUGCCUGCCAGAGGACCUCUCAAACUCGGUUUGUUAGUGUCGUCUGAGUACCAUAACAAUCGUUAAAACUUUUAACAAUGGAUCUCAGAUCGGAA